AGUGAACGCUGGCGGUAGGCCUAACACAUGCAAGUCGAACGGCAGCACAGUAAGAGCUUGCUCUUACGGGUGGCGAGUGGCGGACGGGUGAGGAAUACAUCGGAAUCUACUUUUUCGUGGGGGAUAACGUAGGGAAACUUACGCUAAUACCGCAUACGACCUACGGGUGAAAGCAGGGGAUCUUCGGACCUUGCGCGAUUGAAUGAGCCGAUGUCGGAUUAGCUAGUUGGCGGGGUAAAGGCCCACCAAGGCGACGAUCCGUAGCUGGUCUGAGAGGAUGAUCAGCCACACUGGAACUGAGACACGGUCCAGACUCCUACGGGAGGCAGCAGUGGGGAAUAUUGGACAAUGGGCGCAAGCCUGAUCCAGCCAUACCGCGUGGGUGAAGAAGGCUUUCGGGUUGUAAAGCCCUUUUGUGGGGAAAGAAAAGCAGCAGGUUAAUACCCCGCUGUUCUGACGGUACCCAAAGAAUAAGCACCGGCUAACUUCGU
This 491-nucleotide ribosomal RNA is filed under the name uncultured bacterium. RNAcentral's name for it is "partial 16S ribosomal RNA". It matches the Rfam family "Bacterial small subunit ribosomal RNA", at positions 29 to 506 of the family's 1533-position model. The record is from RNAcentral.